UGUUUCAUGGCGCAAUUGGUUAGCGCGUCUGACUGUUAAUCAGGAGGUUGACAGUUCGAUCCUGUCUGAGACCG
Molecule: transfer RNA, 74 nt
Filed under: Opeltia flavorubescens
Lineage: Eukaryota; Fungi; Ascomycota; Lecanoromycetes; Teloschistales; Teloschistaceae
Description: tRNA-Asn (GTT) (tRNA-Asn-GTT-1-1)
Rfam family: tRNA
About the family: Transfer RNA (tRNA) molecules are approximately 80 nucleotides in length. Their secondary structure includes four short double-helical elements and three loops (D, anti-codon, and T loops). Further hydrogen bonds mediate the characteristic L-shaped molecular structure. tRNAs have two regions of fundamental functional importance: the anti-codon, which is responsible for specific mRNA codon recognition, and the 3' end, to which the tRNAs corresponding amino acid is attached (by aminoacyl-tRNA synthetases). tRNAs cope with the degeneracy of the genetic code in two manners: having more than one tRNA (with a specific anti-codon) for a particular amino acid; and 'wobble' base-pairing, i.e. permitting non-standard base-pairing at the 3rd anti-codon position.
Source: RNAcentral